CUUCAGAAACAAAGAAGAAUAACUAUCUACCUCUCUCUCUCUUUCUAUCUCUAUCUUUCUAUCUCUAUCUCUCUAUCUCUAUCUCUCUCUCCUCCGUAAGAACAAGAAGCUGAAGUUUCAUCAAAAAAAAACCAUGGAUUUCUACUAAAUCAACGCACAAAAUUCGUUUUUGGUGAAGAUCAAGUUGCUCCUCUUGGUAUAUAAAUCCUUGAAAAAAAUCAACGGGGAAGUGUUUGAGGAAGUGGACAGAUUUGGUUUGUUUACGGCGUAGACGAUUCGAACGUCCCCAAGUUAUGAUUGAACUGUUUUGUGGUAAAACACCAAGGUUUGUGUAUAAACUUGUACUCUUUUUGCUUGCUGGAAAUAUGUUGAAAUAACCUGAUAUUUUAUUUU
Molecule: non-coding RNA, 393 nt
Organism: Nicotiana tabacum (common tobacco)
Lineage: Eukaryota; Viridiplantae; Streptophyta; Magnoliopsida; Solanales; Solanaceae
Source: RefSeq, a predicted model, not a curated record